RNAcentral lists this ribosomal RNA (621 nucleotides) under Shigella sonnei. Its description in RNAcentral is "partial 23S ribosomal RNA". It matches the Rfam family "Bacterial large subunit ribosomal RNA", at positions 1233 to 1838 of the family's 2925-position model. Lineage: Bacteria; Pseudomonadati; Pseudomonadota; Gammaproteobacteria; Enterobacterales; Enterobacteriaceae. The record is from RNAcentral.
GGAGCGUUCUGUAAGCCUGCGAAGGUGUGCUGUGAGGCAUGCUGGAGGUAUCAGAAGUGCGAAUGCUGACAUAAGUAACGAUAAAGCGGGUGAAAAGCCCGCUCGCCGGAAGACCAAGGGUUCCUGUCCAACGUUAAUCGGGGCAGGGUGAGUCGACCCCUAAGGCGAGGCCGAAAGGCGUAGUCGAUGGGAAACAGGUUAAUAUUCCUGUACUUGGUGUUACUGCGAAGGGGGGACGGAGAAGGCUAUGUUGGCCGGGCGACGGUUGUCCCGGUUUAAGCGUGUAGGCUGGUUUUCCAGGCAAAUCCGGAAAAUCAAGGCUGAGGCGUGAUGACGAGGCACUACGGUGCUGAAGCAACAAAUGCCCUGCUUCCAGGAAAAGCCUCUAAGCAUCAGGUAACAUCAAAUCGUACCCCAAACCGACACAGGUGGUCAGGUAGAGAAUACCAAGGCGCUUGAGAGAACUCGGGUGAAGGAACUAGGCAAAAUGGUGCCGUAACUUCGGGAGAAGGCACGCUGAUAUGUAGGUGAAGUCCCUUGCGGAUGGAGCUGAAAUCAGUCGAAGAUACCAGCUGGCUGCAACUGUUUAUUAAAAACACAGCACUGUGCAAACACGAAAGU